GUAGAAUGCUGCUCUCAGCCCUGAUGGUUUUCUGCCUUUGCACUGCCCACAUCCCUACCAAGGAGGAAAGUUAAACCACUCCAAGGUUUUGAAAAGAAAUGCUGCUCCAGCUCUGCCUCUCCAGGGCUGAAGGAUGGGCCAAGCUUUCUGCUCAUCACAGCUUUGCUACUGACACCACAAACCAGGUAAAGGCAUCAACACCCCUUCAGAAAGAGCCUGCGUGGUCAGUGCAAUGUCAGUCACUCACUGCUGGCCAGGAUCUGAGCAGGGAACCUGCCAGGAGAUGUGAGGAGUGACUGUCCUAUCCCCAAGGCCCUCAUGCUUGUUUGCCUCUGAAAGUCCCUGUCUGCGUGCACUGCUGUGCCACCCUGCCUUGGACACACCUUUUAAACUCCAAAGAUAAUGUACUGCACUUGCCUUAAUGCUGCUUUUGGGAUGUGUGACUGCAAACUACCUCAGCACUUAGAUAACGAUGAGCUAUGGGGGGAAACCACAGCGGUACUUCUAUUUAAAUCCAGGUAACAUCUCACCUCUCUUUUU
RNAcentral lists this long non-coding RNA (540 nucleotides) under Junco hyemalis (dark-eyed junco). RNAcentral describes it as "lncRNA (ENSJHYG00000011823.1)". Lineage: Eukaryota; Metazoa; Chordata; Aves; Passeriformes; Passerellidae. The record is from RNAcentral.